Molecule: non-coding RNA, 243 nt
Organism: Pelobates cultripes (western spadefoot toad)
Lineage: Eukaryota; Metazoa; Chordata; Amphibia; Anura; Pelobatidae
Source: the annotation of a GenBank genome assembly
AACCCACCAAGGGGAGAUGUUAAGCCCCACAACUAUGCAGAUGGGACCGUAGUCUCUGCACUUGCAACACCAGGGGUAGGGACGGUUGGUCCUGUCCCCCAGCCACAGAGCAGUGUAUCCAGAGGGGAGACAGUCGGUCUCCCCCUCCCACAACCAGGCUCCAACCAGGCUACUUCAGUGGUAGCGCUGGCACCCGGGCAGAGUACCGCUGGUCUCUGCCCUCUCAGCAACCCACCAAGGCAG